This 253-nucleotide ribosomal RNA is filed under the name uncultured bacterium. RNAcentral describes it as "partial 16S ribosomal RNA". It matches the Rfam family "Bacterial small subunit ribosomal RNA", at positions 524 to 776 of the family's 1533-position model. The record is from RNAcentral.
UACGAAGGGGGCUAGCGUUGUUCGGAUUUACUGGGCGUAAAGCGCACGUAGGCGGAUCGUUAAGUCGGGGGUGAAAUCCUGGAGCUCAACUCCAGAACUGCCUUCGAUACUGGCGAUCUUGAGUCCGGAAGAGGUGAGUGGAACUCCUAGUGUAGAGGUGGAAUUCGUAGAUAUUCGGAAGAACACCAGUGGCGAAGGCGGCUCACUGGUCCGGUACUGACGCUGAUGUGCGAAAGCGUGGGGAGCAAACAGG